GACGAACGCUGGCGGCGUGCUUAACACAUGCAAGUCGAACGGAAAGGCCCUGCUUUUGUGGGGUGCUCGAGUGGCGAACGGGUGAGUAACACGUGAGUAACCUGCCCUUGACUUUGGGAUAACUUCAGGAAACUGGGGCUAAUACCGGAUAGGAGCUCCUGCUGCAUGGUGGGGGUUGGAAAGUUUCGGCGGUUGGGGAUGGACUCGCGGCUUAUCAGCUUGUUGGUGGGGUAGUGGCUUACCAAGGCUUUGACGGGUAGCCGGCCUGAGAGGGUGACCGGCCACAAUGGGACUGAGAUACGGCCCAGACUCCUACGGGAGGCAGCAGUGGGGAAUAUUGCACAAUGGGCGGAAGCCUGAUGCAGCAACGCCGCGUGCGGGAUGACGGCCUUCGGGUUGUAAACCGCUUUCGCCUGUGACGAAGCGUGAGUGACGGUAAUAGGUAAAGAAGCACCGGCUAACUACGUG
Molecule: ribosomal RNA, 468 nt
Filed under: uncultured bacterium
Lineage: Bacteria
Description: partial 16S ribosomal RNA
Rfam family: Bacterial small subunit ribosomal RNA
Source: RNAcentral